Molecule: ribosomal RNA, 466 nt
Filed under: uncultured bacterium
Lineage: Bacteria
Description: SSU rRNA
Rfam family: Bacterial small subunit ribosomal RNA
Source: RNAcentral
AGGAUUAACGCUGGCGGCGUGCCUAACGACGAUGCAAGUCGAACGAGGUAGCAAUACCUAGUGGCAGACGGGUGAGUAGCGCGUGGUCAACCUACCGUUGAGUGGGGGAUAACUAGCCGAAAGGUUAGCUAAUACCGCAUACGUCUCCGAGGGGCAUCCCUUGGUGAUAAAAGGAGCAAUCCGCUCGAUGACGGGACCGCGUCCCAUUAGCUAGUUGGUGGGGUAACGGCCUACCAAGGCAUCGAUGGGUAGCUGGUUUGAGAGAGCGACCAGCCACACUGGGACUGAGAUACGGCCCAGACUCCUACGGGAGGCAGCAGUGAGGAAUUUUCCGCAAUGGGCGAAAGCCUGACGGAGCGACGCCGCGUGUGGGAAGAAGGCCUUCGGGUCGUAAACCACUGUCGAAGGGGAAGAUAAUGACGGUACCCUUGGAGGAAGCCCCGGCUAACUACGUGCCAGCAGCCGC